RNAcentral lists this ribosomal RNA (279 nucleotides) under uncultured bacterium. RNAcentral describes it as "partial 16S ribosomal RNA". It matches the Rfam family "Bacterial small subunit ribosomal RNA", at positions 506 to 784 of the family's 1533-position model. The record is from RNAcentral.
UGCCAGCAGCCGCGGUAACACGGGGGGUGCAAGCGUUAUUCGGAAUUAUUGGGCGUAAAGGGCGCGUAGGCGGCCUUGUCGGUCAGAUGUGAAAGCCCGGGGCUCAACCCUGGAAGUGCAUUUGAAACAGCAAGGCUUGAGUACUGGAGAGGAGAGCGGAAUUCCUGGUGUAGAGGUGAAAUUCGUAGAUAUCAGGAGGAACACCGAUGGCGAAGGCAGCUCUCUGGACAGAUACUGACGCUGAGGCGCGAAGGCGUGGGUAGCGAACAGGAUUAGAUA